RNAcentral lists this long non-coding RNA (3007 nucleotides) under Sus scrofa (pig). RNAcentral describes it as "lncRNA (ENSSSCG00065039373.1)". The record is from RNAcentral. Lineage: Eukaryota; Metazoa; Chordata; Mammalia; Artiodactyla; Suidae.
ACUUCACUCAGUAUGAGAGUCACUAGUUCCAUCUAUGUUGCUGCAAAUGGCAUUAUUUUGUUCUUUCAUAUAGUUUACUAGUAUUCCAUUGUGUAUAUAUACCACAUCUUCCUUAUCCAAUCAUCUGUUGAUGGUCAUUUGGGUUGUUUCCAUGUCUUGACAAUUGUGAAUGGUGCUGCAAUGAACAUGUGGGUGCAUGUGUUUUUUUUAAGGAAAGUUUGUCUGGAUAUAUGCCCAAGAGUGGGAUUGCUGGGUCAUAUGGUAGUUCUAUGUAUAAUUUUCUAAAGUACCUCCAUACUGUUCUCCAUAGUGGUUGUACCAGCUUAGCUUCCCACCAACAGUGCAGGAGAGUUCCCAUUUCUCCACACCUGUUCCAGCAUUUGUAAUUUGUGGACUUAUGAAUGAAGGCCAUUCUGACUGGUGUGAGGUGGUAACUCAUGGUAGUUUUGAUUUGCAUUUCCCUAAUAAUCAGGGAUGUUGAGCAUUUUUUCAUGUGCUUGUUGGCCAUCUGUAUAUCUUCCUUGGAGAAAUGUCUGUUCAGGUUUUUUGUCCAUUUUUUCCGUUGGGUUAUUGGCUUCUUUGCUGUUGAGUUGUAUAAGUUGCUUGUAUAUUUUAGAGAUUAAGCCAUUGUCGGUUGCAUCAUUUGAAAAUGUUUUCUCCCAUUCUGUAAGGUGUCUUUUUGGUUUCCUUUGCUGUGAAAAAGCUUGUCAGUUUAUUAGGUCCCAUUCAUUUAUUUUUGCUUUUAUUUCUGUUGCUUUGGGAGACUGACCUGAGAAAAUAUUCAUAAGGUUGAUGUCAGAGAAUGUUUUGCCUAUGUUAUCUUCCAGGAGUUUGAUGGUGUCUUGUCUUAUAUUUAAGUCUUUCAGCCAUUUUGAGUUUAUUUUCAUGCAUGGUGGGAGGGUGUGUUCUAGUUUCCUUGAUUUGCAUGCUGCUGUCCAGGUUUCCUAGCAAUACUUGCUGAAAAGUCUGUCUUUUUCCCAUUUGAUAUUCUUGCCUUCUUUGUCAAAGAUUAAUUGACCAUAGGUGUCUGAGUAUAUUUCUGGGUUCUCUGUUCUGUUCCAUUGAUCUGUCUGAAUGUUUUUUUACCAGUACCACACUAUCUUGGUGACUGUGGCUUUGUAAUAUUGCCUCAAGUCUGGGAGAGUUAUGCCUCCUGCUUGAUUUUUGCUCCUCAGGAUUGCUUUGGCAAUUCUGGGUCUUUUGUGCUUCCAUAUAAAUGUUUGGAUUGUUUGUUGUAGUUCUGCAAAAAAGGUCAUGGGGAAUUUGAUAAGGAUUGCAUUGAAUCUAUAGAUUGCUUUGGGGAGUAUGGCCAUUUUUGCAAUAUUAAUUUUUCCAACCCAGAAACAUAGAGUAUCUUUCCAUUUCUUUAUACCUUCUUUAAUUUCUUUGAUUAAUGUUUUAUAGUUUUCAGCAUAUAAGUCUUUCACCUACUUGGUCAGGUUUAUACCCAGGUAUUUGAUUUUAUGGGGGGCAAUUUUAAAAGGUAUUGUAUUUUUGUAUUCCUUUUCUAAUAUUUCAUUGCUGGUAUACAGAAAUGCAACUGAUUUCUGAAUGUUAAUCUUAUAUCCUGUUACUUUGCUAAAUUUGUUGAUCAGUUCAAAUGGUUUUUAGGUUGAGUUAUUAGGGUUUUCUAUAUACAGUAUCCUGUCAUCUACAUACAGUGACCAUUUUAUCUCUUCUCUUCCUAUUUGGAUACCUUUUAUUUCUUUUGUUUUUCUUACUGCUGUAGCUAGGACUUCCAAUACUAUGUUGAAUAACAGUGGUGAGAGUGGGCAUCACUGUCCUUUCCAGAUUUUAGUGGGAAGGCUUUCAAAUUUUCUCCAUUGAGUAUUGUAUUUGCUGUGGGUUUGUCAUAAAUGGCUUUGAUUAUGCUGAAGAAUGUUCCCUCUAUACCCACUUUGGUAAGAGUUUUUAUUAUGAAUGGAUGUUGGACUUUGUCAAAUGCUUUUUCUGCAUCUAUUGAUAUGAUUAUGGGUUUUUGCCUUUUCUUUUGUUACUGUGGUGUAUAAUGUUGAUUGAUUUGUGUAUGUUGAACCAUCCUUGUGAAACUGGGAUGAAUCCCACCUAGUCGUGUGUAUACUAUAUUUUUGAUAUGAUGUUGUAUUCAUUUGGCUAAGGUUUUGUUGAGAAUUUUUGUGUCUAUAUUCAUCAAAUAUAUUGGCUGAUAUUUUCUUUUUUGGUGGUAUCUCUGUCUGGUUUUGGAAUGAGGGUGAUGGUGGCCUCAUAGAAUGUCUUUGGGAGUAUUCCUUCUUCUUCAACCUUUUGAAAGAGUUUAAGGAGGAUGGGCACCAAUUCCUCUUUAUAUGUUUGAUAGAAUUCACCUGUGAAGCCAUCUGGUCCUGGACUUUUAUUUGUAGGGAGUGAUUUUAUGACCUCUUCAAUUUCAUUUCUAGUGAUCGGUCUGUUCAGUUGGUCUGUUUCUGCUUGAUUCAGUUUUGGCAGGCUGUAAGAUUCUAGAAAAUUGUCCAUUUCUUCCAGAUUGUCAAACUUGUUGCCAUAUAGUUGUUCAUAGUAUUCUCUUAUGGUUUUUUGUAUUUCUGCUGUAUCCGUUGUGAUUUCUCCUUUUUCAUUUAUAAUUUUGGUUAUUUGGGUUCUUUCUCUCCUCUUUUUAGUGAGUCUGGCCAGGGGUUUGUCAAUUUUGUUCACCUUUUCAAAGAACCAGCUCUUGGUUUUAUUAAUUUUCUCUAUUGUUUUUUGAGUCUCUAUUUUAUUGAUUUCUUCUUUGAUCUUUAUAAUUUCCUUCCUUCUGCUGACUUUAGGACUUUUUUGUUCUUCUUUUUCUAAUUCGUUUAGGUGGAGGGUUAAGUUGUCAAUUUGGGAUCUUUCUUCUUUUUUGAGAAAGGCCUGUAUUGCUAUAAAUUUCCCUCUGAGCACUGCUUUCGCAGCAUCCCAUAGAUUUUGAGAGGUUGUGUCUUCAUUAUCAUUUGUUUCAAGGUAGUUUUUAAUUUCCUUCUUGAUUUCCUCAUUGACCCAUUGGUUUUUUAGUAGCAUGUUGUUUAGUCUCCAU